UACAGAGGUGGCAAGCGUUGUUCGGAGUUACUGGGCGUAAAGGGCGCGUAGGCGGUUAGUUAAGAUUGAUGUGAAAUCCCUGGGCUUAACCUAGGAACUGCAUUGAUUACUGGCAAGCUAGAGUACUGUAGAGGGUAGUGGAAUUUCCGGUGUAGCGGUGAAAUGCGUAGAGAUCGGAAGGAACACCAGUGGCGAAGGCGGGUCUCUGGGCCGAUACUGACGCUGAGGAGCGAAAGCGUGGGGAGCGAACAGG
This 253-nucleotide ribosomal RNA is filed under the name uncultured bacterium. RNAcentral's name for it is "partial 16S ribosomal RNA". It matches the Rfam family "Bacterial small subunit ribosomal RNA", at positions 524 to 776 of the family's 1533-position model. The record is from RNAcentral.